UCAUUUUCUUGACUGCACCAGACAGAAAGUCCAGCCCUCUUUCCCUACUCUUUUCCUUGUUCUUUGUUUCUUUCUUCACCUCUUCUUACAUGGCAGCCCUCCCUCUCUCACCAAAACAAAAUAUCCCUCUCUAAAGAAGAAAUUAAAGGGUUAACACUAAAAUUUCAGCUUCAAAUUGUGGGGGGUGUUACCAGUUCCCCAAGUUUAAGCUCCGUCGACUGUAGGCUCUCGAUUCCUCUACUUUCGGGUAAGGGAUAAGUAUAUGGGCAUUUGGUAAGUCAUGAGGUUAUUUUAAAGUAUAUUAUGCAUUAAAAUGUUUUUGAUUAGAGAUAUGACAUAUAAUCAUUAUUCUGACAAAGAUAUGUUUGUGAGUUUUCGAAAACUUAUGUACAUGAUUUAAACAUAUUGAUGCUAUUAUUGAUUCCACGAACAUGAUGUUUAAAGAAAAGAAUGAAAAUGCUAUUGUAAUGAAAUGUUAUGCAAAAUAAGAAAUUUCAUUAUGAUGUAAAGUGUGAAAUGUUUUUGGGUUAUGUCCUCUGGUGAUCUAAACUUGGCUAGUAGGGGUUAAUUACUAGCUUUCCAUGGAAAAAUGUUAUCUGUUUGGUCAUUUAAAGUAGAGGAAAUGGGGCUGCCCAUAACUCUAGGCCAUUUAAAAUAGAGGAAAUGAGGUUGCCCGUAACUCUAAUCUGAAUAAGGCCUUUUCCCCAAUGUAUACGGACUAUGGGGAGGAAUAAAAUCUUGAGGAGAUGUGCCAUCAAGCCUCUCAAAGAGAACAAUAUCAUGCACACGAGGUAACCCAAAUGUGAUGAGGCCUUCUCUGUACAGACUUAUCAGAUAUGGACUAACCAAUAAGUUAUUUAUGAACAGUUAUGUUAUGUUAUUAAUCAUGAGAGAAUUAUUUUGUUUAAAUGCAUUGUGAAAAGUAAAAACUCUCAUGGCAAGAAGAAGUUUUUGAUGAAAAGAAAAGUUGUUCAUUAAAGAUAAAAGUUUCUGAAUUUCUAAUGUGCUAUAAAGAUAAAUCUUUUGAUGAAAGUACAAGUUUAUGUAUAAAAGUUAUCAGAUACCUAUUUUUUACGAAAUGUUAAGUUUUAUAACUAUGAAAGUUAUAAUAUUUUUCGGUAAGAGGUUUAUAAAGAAAGGUUUUCUUAUUGGGUCAAGAUGUUUCUAGUUUAAUACAAAGUUGUCGAUUAUCUGAUUUAAGUUAAAAUGAUUAUUUUGUAAUGAGAAGAAUAUACAUAUGGUGACUUUGUAGGAAAUGAAAAAGUUUAAUCUAAAAGGUUUUGUUAAUAUUAACUUGAUAAGAAAAAGAAGAACAAUUAUUUUCUAUGGAAAGCAUAUAAGUUAUUAUUAUGAAUAGUAUAAAAUACUAUGCAUGAAAAGAUGUUCUCCUAUUUGAAUAUUCAUAGAAUGAAAUGAAUUGUUUUACAUGCAUUCUUAUUAAAUUCUCAUAUAUCUUGCCUUUACUGAGCUGUGUAGCUCCCCCUUCCACUCUUUUAGUCAACAGGUUUUAUUUUGAAGCAGAGGAAGCCUUAGUCAAGUUUUGGAAUGAGCUGGUUUUAGUUUUAUAUGUAUAGAUCCUAAAUUAGCAAUUUGAUGUUUGGAUUUGUAGUAUGGUGUAUUUUAGGAUAUAAUGAAAGUGUGUACCUUAAAGUAUUAAGAGAUGUAUUAUGUGAAAUUUAGAAUUUGAAUAAUCGGUGGAUUGUAUUA
This is a long non-coding RNA of Quercus robur (English oak), 1707 nucleotides long. RefSeq lists it as uncharacterized. The record is from RefSeq and is a predicted model, not a curated record. Lineage: Eukaryota; Viridiplantae; Streptophyta; Magnoliopsida; Fagales; Fagaceae. The transcript is spliced from 2 exons.